AGGGCACCACCAGGAGUGGAGCCUGCGGCUUAAUUUGACUCAACACGGGAAAUCUCACCAGGCCCGGACACCGGAAGGAUUGACAGAUUGAGAGCUCUUUCUUGAUUCGGUGGGUGGUGGUGCAUGGCCGUUCUUAGUUGGUGGAGCGAUUUGUCUGGUUAAUUCCGAUAACGAACGAGACUCUGGCCUACUAACUAGACGUUGGAUCUCUUUGUGGGUCCAUCGCAGCUUCUUAGAGGGACGGGCGGCGUUUAGCCGCACGAGAAUGAGCAAUAACAGGUCUGUGAUGCCCUUAGAUGUUCUGGGCUGCACGCGCGCUACACUGAAGGAAUCAGCGUGUGUACCCUGUCUGAAAAGACUGGGAAACCCGAUGAACCUCCUUCGUGAUGGGGAUUGGGGAUUGCAAUUAUUCCCCAUGAACGAGGAAUUCCCAGUAGGCGCGAGUCAUAAGCUUGCGUCGAUUACGUCCCAGCCCUUUGUACACACCGCCCGUCGCUACUACCGAUCGAGUGAUUUAGU
RNAcentral lists this ribosomal RNA (519 nucleotides) under uncultured eukaryote. RNAcentral's name for it is "SSU rRNA". It matches the Rfam family "Eukaryotic small subunit ribosomal RNA", at positions 1161 to 1702 of the family's 1831-position model. The record is from RNAcentral.